RNAcentral lists this ribosomal RNA (253 nucleotides) under uncultured bacterium. RNAcentral describes it as "partial 16S ribosomal RNA". It matches the Rfam family "Bacterial small subunit ribosomal RNA", at positions 524 to 776 of the family's 1533-position model. The record is from RNAcentral.
UACGGAGGAUCCAAGCGUUAUCCGGAUUUAUUGGGUUUAAAGGGUGCGUAGGUGGCCUGGUAAGUCAGGGGUGAAAGACGGUAGCUUAACUAUCGCAGUGCCUUUGAUACUGCCGGGCUUGAAUAAACUAGAGGUAGGCGGAAUGUGACAAGUAGCGGUGAAAUGCAUAGAUAUGUCACAGAACACCGAUUGCGAAGGCAGCUUACUAUGGUUUUAUUGACACUGAGGCACGAAAGCGUGGGGAUCAAACAGG